This 249-nucleotide unclassified non-coding RNA is filed under the name Hevea brasiliensis (rubber tree). Lineage: Eukaryota; Viridiplantae; Streptophyta; Magnoliopsida; Malpighiales; Euphorbiaceae. The record is from RNAcentral.
UGUUCCUCGAGGAGAGGCUGGAAUGUUUUCGAGUUCUGAAAUAUGAUGUGGAGACUGAUCGGCCGAGAACUAAAGAUUUGGACACGCCGGAAUUGCUUGAACAGUUACCAGCCUUACAACAACUUCUGUAUCGUAUUAACGGCUGUCAGCCACAAGGGGCAUCUGCUCACAAUUUUGUGAUUCAGUUAGCACUUUCGAUGGUUGCUUCAGAAAGCAUUAAAAUCUACAAUGCUAUCAGUGAUGGUACAG